Non-coding RNA from Rattus norvegicus (Norway rat), 69 nucleotides. The record is from Rfam. NCBI's taxonomy places the organism in Eukaryota, Metazoa, Chordata, Mammalia, Rodentia, Muridae.
GGGGAUUUAGCUCAGUGGUAGAGCGCUUGCCUAGCACACGCAAGGCCCUGGGUUCGGUCCCCAGCUCCG